RNAcentral lists this ribosomal RNA (422 nucleotides) under uncultured cyanobacterium. RNAcentral's name for it is "bacterial SSU rRNA". It matches the Rfam family "Bacterial small subunit ribosomal RNA", at positions 358 to 795 of the family's 1533-position model. The record is from RNAcentral. Lineage: Bacteria; Bacillati; Cyanobacteriota.
GGAAUUUUCCGCAAUGGGCGAAAGCCUGACGGAGCAACGCCGCGUGAGGGAUGAAGGCCUCUGGGCUGUAAACCUCUUUUAUCAAGGAAGAAGAUCUGACGGUACUUGAUGAAUAAGCCACGGCUAAUUCCGUGCCAGCAGCCGCGGUAAUACGGGAGUGGCAAGCGUUAUCCGGAAUUAUUGGGCGUAAAGCGUCCGCAGGCGGUCUGUCAAGUCUGCUGUUAAAGCGUGGAGCUUAACUCCAUUUCGGCAGUGGAAACUGACAGACUAGAGUGUGGUAGGGGCAGAGGGAAUUCCCGGUGUAGCGGUGAAAUGCGUAGAGAUCGGGAAGAACACCAGUGGCGAAGGCGCUCUGCUGGGCCAUAACUGACGCUCAUGGACGAAAGCCAGGGGAGCGAAAGGGAUUAGAUACCCCAGUAGUC